This 245-nucleotide ribosomal RNA is filed under the name uncultured Alphaproteobacteria bacterium. RNAcentral's name for it is "partial 16S ribosomal RNA". It matches the Rfam family "Bacterial small subunit ribosomal RNA", at positions 524 to 768 of the family's 1533-position model. Lineage: Bacteria; Pseudomonadati; Pseudomonadota; Alphaproteobacteria. The record is from RNAcentral.
UACGGAGGGUGCAAGCGUUGUUCGGAAUGACUGGGCGUAAAGCGCACGUAGGCGGCUUGUUUAGUCAGGGGUGAAAUCCCGGGGCUUAACCCCGGAACUGCCUUUGAUACUGGCAAGCUCGAGUCCGGAAGAGGGUGGCGGAAUACCCAGUGUAGAGGUGAAAUUCGUAGAUAUUGGGUAGAACACCGGUGGCGAAGGCGGCCACCUGGUCCGGUACUGACGCUGAGGUGCGAAAGCGUGGGGAG